This 1448-nucleotide long non-coding RNA is filed under the name Sarcophilus harrisii (Tasmanian devil). RNAcentral's name for it is "lncRNA (ENSSHAG00000029124.1)". The record is from RNAcentral. Lineage: Eukaryota; Metazoa; Chordata; Mammalia; Dasyuromorphia; Dasyuridae.
CACUCCACUUCCGCCACUGCCGCCGCCCGCCCGCCAGCCCGCUGCCGCCGCCGCUGCUACUACUACUACUCCAGUCCCCUUGCCCGCUGCCAGUAUCCCUCGUCGCUGCUCGUGCCACCGCCGUCGCCACGGCACAGGGACGUAGCUGUAGCCCGGGCCAGCGGCUUCAGUAGAGCAAGAACAGGCUCCCUUCCAACGGCGGCGGCAACGACUGCUCCUCCUCCUCCUCCUCUCUUCAGCCUCUACCUCGCUCCCUCCUCUUCCUUCUCCUCCUUCUCCUGCCGCCGCCGCCGCCGCUGCCGCUGCCCUGGGUGGGGGGAAAGUGAGAAGACCUCAACUUCGGGCGUCGUCGGGCUUCUCGCGAAGGAGACCAAAGGAAGGCGUUGGGUGGCUUUCCUUCCAACCUUCUUCCCCUUUCCCGGGAGAAUCUUAGAGGCCCGGAAGGAUGAAGGAUGAAGGAGAUAGGAUGGGAUCUGUGUCCCGGCUUCUCCCCAGAUUUAGGGAACGCUGCUGGUGGGUGGCCACUUUUUGGAUACCCCCGCGAUUCGAUUGGAUUUUCAGGUGAUCUCCUCGCGACCAGGUGGAUGUGCCAUUUUAAAAAAAUUUGACAGAGCUUACUUAUGAUUAUGCAUCUAUAUGUAUAUAUACACACCUUUUGUUUUGGUGGAAUAAUAGAACCUAACAAACCGAAGGAAGCUCCAGCGCUGGAUACUGAAAUACUUCUUGGUAUUUGUUUGCCUCUGGAAAUACACCAAUUUCUCCAGUUGUCUACCAUUCUUUUCAAAUGUUGUUUUCCCCCCCUACUACUGGGGGGAAAGGGCUUGUGGGCUAUACCAGAGAAGUAAGAAAAUUUUCAGAUGUCUAUCUCCUUUUCUUCCACCUGGACGUAACUGGACAUGUUAGCUCCAUGUGCAUUAAGGUAUUUUGUGCUACAUUAUACACCCCUUUCAGGGCUAGAUGGAGCUGUUGUGUCCUGGCAGGGGGGGAGGAGGGAGGGAGAAGGAUAGAGUGAGAAAGGGGGAGAUGCCUUCCUGAGGAGAAGCUGUCGCUGCCUUGGAGCCUGCAGUGAGAUGCUGCUUCAAUUUUAUGUUGCUAUUGUCCGCAACACAAUGUCUGUGAUGCAACAGGUUUUAAACUCCUUUUCUGAAGUUAACCCUGAGAAAGAAUCCGUUCAAGACUAGAGGAUUAAAUCGUUGUUAGUUAACUGGAUUACUCUUUAGAUUUCUUUUUAAGGCUGUACCUUGUUUCCAGUUCUUUAAUUGUAACAAAUGAAGUAAAACUCCCAUAACUUGAACAAUCCUUCCUCCCCUUUUCUCUUCCUGUUUCCUUGAGAGAUACUUAUUAACAAUGCUUUUCAAUUUAUUUGUUCAGAGGGAGAAAAAAAUCUUUCCUUCAAAAGUAGUACAAUAGUUGAAUUUGAAUUGACUUUAAACUUUGACAUGUUUUAU